CAUUAUCUGCUAAACAUGUGACU
RNAcentral lists this non-coding RNA (23 nucleotides) under Rattus norvegicus (Norway rat). Lineage: Eukaryota; Metazoa; Chordata; Mammalia; Rodentia; Muridae. The record is from RNAcentral.